CCAAUAGCGUAUAUUAAAGUUGUUGCAGUUAAAAAGCUCGUAGUUGAAUUUCGGGAUCAAUCUAUCGGUCGUGCAAUAGUACGUACUGAUUUUAUUGAUUCCUCCCUUCUGAUGAACUAUGAUGUCAUUAAUUUGGUGUCAUAGGGAAUCAGGACUGUUACUUUGAAAAAAUUAGAGUGUUUAAAGCAGGCUCACGCUUGAAUACAUUAGCAUGGAAUAACGAAAUAGGACGUUUGAUUCUAUUUUGUUGGUUUCUAGGAUCGACGUAAUGAUUAAUAGGGAUAGUUGGGGGCAUUAGUAUUCAAUUGUCAGAGGUGAAAUUCUUGGAUUUAUUGAAGACUAACUACUGCGAAAGCAUUUGCCAAGGAUGUUUUCAUUAAUCAAGAACGAAAGUUAGGGGAUCGAAGACGAUCAGAUACCGUCGUAGUCUUAACCAUAAACUAUGCCGACUAGGGAUCGGAUGAUGUUAAUUUUUUAAUGACUCGUUCGGCGCCUUACG
This 499-nucleotide ribosomal RNA is filed under the name uncultured Glomeromycotina. Its description in RNAcentral is "partial small subunit ribosomal RNA". It matches the Rfam family "Eukaryotic small subunit ribosomal RNA", at positions 591 to 1092 of the family's 1831-position model. Lineage: Eukaryota; Fungi; Glomeromycota. The record is from RNAcentral.